This 74-nucleotide transfer RNA is filed under the name Nitrososphaerota archaeon. Its description in RNAcentral is "Thaumarchaeota archaeon (marine metagenome) tRNA-Pro". It matches the Rfam family "tRNA". Rfam says of the family: Transfer RNA (tRNA) molecules are approximately 80 nucleotides in length. Their secondary structure includes four short double-helical elements and three loops (D, anti-codon, and T loops). Further hydrogen bonds mediate the characteristic L-shaped molecular structure. tRNAs have two regions of fundamental functional importance: the anti-codon, which is responsible for specific mRNA codon recognition, and the 3' end, to which the tRNAs corresponding amino acid is attached (by aminoacyl-tRNA synthetases). tRNAs cope with the degeneracy of the genetic code in two manners: having more than one tRNA (with a specific anti-codon) for a particular amino acid; and 'wobble' base-pairing, i.e. permitting non-standard base-pairing at the 3rd anti-codon position. RNAcentral also lists the same sequence under 5 other names. Lineage: Archaea; Thermoproteati; Nitrososphaerota. The record is from RNAcentral.
GGGAGUGUGGUCUAGCUUGGUAUGAUUCUGCGUUUGGGACGCAGAGAUCGCGCGUUCGAAUCUCGCCACUCCCA